UUCCUGGUUGAUCCUGCCGGAGGUCACUGCUAUUGGGAUUCGACUAAGCCAUGCGAGUCGAGAGGGUUCGGCCCUCGGCUGACGGCUCAGUAACACGUGGAUAAUCUGCCCUAAGGUGGAGGAUAAUCUCGGGAAACUGAGAAUAAUACUCCAUAGGCCUAGGAGGCUGGAAUACACUUAGGCUAAAAACUUCGGUGCCUUAGGAUGAGUCUGCGGACUAUCAGGUUGUAGUCAGGGUAAAGACCUGACUAGCCUACAACGGAUACGGGUUGUGAGAGCAAUAACCCGGAGAUGAUAUCUGAGACACGAUAUCAGGCCCUACGGGGCGCAGCAGGCGCGAAAACUUCGCACUGCGCGAAAGCGCGACGAGGGAAUCCCAAGUGUAUGCACGUUAGUGUAUACUGUUUCUUUGUUUAAAAAGCAGAGAGAGUAAGAGCUGGGUAAGACGGGUGCCAGCCGCCGCGGUAA
RNAcentral lists this ribosomal RNA (468 nucleotides) under uncultured archaeon. RNAcentral's name for it is "bacterial SSU rRNA". It matches the Rfam family "Archaeal small subunit ribosomal RNA", at positions 1 to 473 of the family's 1478-position model. The record is from RNAcentral.